This 2208-nucleotide long non-coding RNA is filed under the name Nasonia vitripennis (jewel wasp). Its description in RNAcentral is "uncharacterized LOC116416836". The record is from RNAcentral. Lineage: Eukaryota; Metazoa; Arthropoda; Insecta; Hymenoptera; Pteromalidae.
UACAGAGUGCAAGUCAGAAAAAAAACGAGAUGAACUACGUCUACUGAGAGAUAAAGAACUAGAACUGCUUAAAGAAUGCUGUAGCAAAAUCAGGAGUACUCCCAACAUGUAGCAGAUGUUUAAAAACUUCCUCGAAAAGUCAAUAGGCCUGCAUAAACUUACAGGAUUUUAGAAAUCAUCAACAAUAUAAGAAAGAAAAUGGAUGAAAUUGACAGAAUUUGAGAUUGAUUCUGAAUCUUCAAAAGAUAUGGGCGCUAAUUUAGAAAGGAUAAAAGUGGAUCUGAAGCAAAUGAGACAGGGGACUGUAUCUUUAAGUACACAAUAUUCUACAUCGAUCAUCAUCAAGCCUAGAUUUGAUUAUGCAAGAAACUUCAUUGAGAUCACCUAAGGUUUAUCGUGGAGUAGGGGCUAUAGGAUAUACUUGGACAGUGCAGCAAUAUUGCUAUGUAUAAAGGUCUUGUUGGAAAUCGGUGCUGUGAUCUUUAAAGAAGGCAUACCUUCACUAGUGGAUUGCGAGCUUUCUUCAUUGAAGUUGUAUCCGCAAUCAUUAAACAAGGUAAUAUAAGUCAUUGACUGUCCGGAGUGAUCAUUGUACGAGUCACAUGAUUGUGCAUUGUCAUUUGAUUGUGAUGAUUUUGCAUUCUUGAAGAAAUCACCUCUGAUGAUAUAAGUAUAAUUCUAAUUUUCAAUUUUACUUAUUUGAUAUUUGGAAAAUACUAUUAUCUGCAUGCUGUAUUAAACCUGAAAAAUGAAAACUUACUUAGAUGAUCAAAUUGUUCAGAAAAACUGCACAAGCUGUUCUCUGGGUAUGACGCCAAUUGCAUAUCGAUAUUAGAAUUUGAGAUGUCAAGAACUGUAGCUAGAAAAGUAAUUUAGAAUCUAUUAGUUUAUUAUAUUAAUUUCUAAAUUAAAGCCGCCAUAAAAACUAAAAUGAACGCCUUACGUUUAUCUGCUUCAUCUUCUGAAAUCGUUGGACACUCGUGAUCCAAAAAUAAUAUUGCUUGCUGCUUUUUACUUCGAUAGUUUUGAUCAGUCUAUUUUUUGUCUUCUAAAUCCGACAUCUUAACUUCUUCCUCACAGUUGACAAUGGCUUUGAAUUUUCAAAUUCUAAGCUUUUAUUAACAGCACGUGAAUGCUAUCACUAAUUUGAUGUAUUAUAAACGUCACUGUGUCAGCCACUUUGUAUCUGUGUUUAAAAACAUUUCCUACUUGAAAUUAUUAGACUAAACUUUCAGAUUUGUUUAAAGCAACUUACUUGAUCUAGUGCAUGAACUUCUAAUGUAAAUUUUAUUAAUCACAAUUUUUUAAAGCACGCGGUAUGAAACGGGACAAAGCGUCAAAAAGCACCACUAAGCGCCAUAUUCGAAAAUCGAAAUUACGACGCAGGCAUAUUUGGUACAUUUGACCGGGCGGCGGCAAUGUUAACACUCCGUUUGUAAACACUGUCGGUCGCAGCCAGUAUCGAUCGAAAAUCACACAGGUGCAUUGUAUAUUAUUCUGUAGGCAUACCUAAUGGAUAAUUCUGCAUUUGGCAUAUGUGAAUCUGAGACUGGCAAACGAAUUGCCUGACCCAGAAUUAAGACGAAUUCUUUGGUUAAUUUGCGUUUUGCCAAAGAUCACGCGCCAGCUAAUUAUUGCAGAUCUUCCCGCUCUGAUGUUAGAUAUUUUGAUGCUUUUAAGUUAGAUCUUAUAGUAUUUUAAGAAAGCGAAGAGGCAGUUUUUGAUUCAUCAAGAAAGAAUAAUUGCAUGAAGAAGUAUUGGCAUUUGUCAAAGUUCCCGAGCCUGUGGCGUAUAUAGGGAAAACUUUCUCACAGAAAAAAUCUACGCCUGAUGAAGUCAAAAUAAUUUUGCAAAUGCGUAGUAUAACUGAAGAUAGAGGAAUUCCAGAUGCGCUUGUUCGAAGUCAAGAUGGAAAUCAACUAGCCCUGAUGGAACAGCUCGUCGUGUGUUGACCGAGAAACAACCAAGGAAAAACAGAGUCACGACGUUUUUUCCACGGAUCUAUUUUCAGCUUCGAAGCAUUUUUCCUACUACUUAGUUGUACAAUGCAGUAUUGCUAUAUCAUUAUUUUUUAAAUAAAACUGAGACUACAAAAAAUAUGUAAACAUUUAACAGAAUAAUCUACUAAACGGUUGCAAUAAAAAAACUGCGUAUUCUGCUCCUAUCAGUCAAUUUAAAUGAUUAAUUGCUUUGAUUAUAUCAUUCUCC